AUUAACGCUAGCGGCAGACAUAAUACAUGCAAGUUGAACGGCAGCACAGGUAGCAAUACUGGGUGGCGAGUGGCGCACGGGUGCGUAACACGUAUGCAACCUACCCUAUACAGGCGAAUAACCUUUAGAAAUGAGGGCUAAUACGCCGUAGUAUUACAGAUGGGCAUCUAUUUGUAAUUAAAGAUUUAUCGGUAUAGGAUGGGCAUGCGUCCCAUUAGUUAGUUGGUAAGGUAACGGCU
RNAcentral lists this ribosomal RNA (239 nucleotides) under uncultured bacterium. RNAcentral's name for it is "partial 16S ribosomal RNA". It matches the Rfam family "Bacterial small subunit ribosomal RNA", at positions 29 to 265 of the family's 1533-position model. The record is from RNAcentral.